This 484-nucleotide ribosomal RNA is filed under the name uncultured Lachnospiraceae bacterium. RNAcentral describes it as "bacterial SSU rRNA". It matches the Rfam family "Bacterial small subunit ribosomal RNA", at positions 19 to 507 of the family's 1533-position model. Lineage: Bacteria; Bacillati; Bacillota; Clostridia; Lachnospirales; Lachnospiraceae. The record is from RNAcentral.
CCUGCUCAGGAUGACGCUGCGGCGUGCUAACACAUGCAAGUCGAGCGAAGCACUUUGAUUGAUCUUCGGAUGAAGAUAAUUGUGACUGAGCGGCGGACGGGUGAGUAACGCGUGGGCAACCUGCCUUACACAGGGGGAUAACAGUUAGAAAUGACUGCUAAUACCGCAUAAGACCGCGGAACCGCAUGGUUCUGAGGUAAAAACUCCGGUGGUGUAAGAUGGGCCCGCGUCUGAUUAGGUAGUUGGUGAGGUAACGGGCUCACCAAGCCGACGAUCAGUAGCCGACUUGAGAGGGUGACCGGCCACAUUGGGACUGAGACACGGCCCAGACUCCUACGGGAGGCAGCAGUGGGGAAUAUUGCACAAUGGGGGAAACCCUGAUGCAGCGACGCCGCGCGAGCGAUGAAGUAUUUCGGUAUGUAAAGCUCUAUCAGCAGGGAAGAAAAUGACGGUACCUGACUAAGAAGCCCCGGCUAACUACGUG